GUGAAUCAUCAAAUUUUUGAACGCAAAUUGCACUCUCUUCGGAGAGUAUGCCUGUUUGAGGGUCAGUUUAAAUUAAAAAUCGAGGUGUUGUUUUUUUUUGUGACGCAUCGGUAUUGGGUUAUCUUUGUCCUUUGGAUUUUUUAAGAGACCUAAUAUUGAUACUUUUUGCAUCUCAGACGUACAUAAAGAAUAUUUUUUUUUUUUUUCUGUCCGGAGUUUCCAAAUUUUUAUUUGGUUUGAACA
RNAcentral lists this unclassified non-coding RNA (243 nucleotides) under Glomeraceae sp. RNAcentral's name for it is "partial contains 5.8S ribosomal RNA and internal transcribed spacer 2". The stretch from base 1 to 65 matches the Rfam family "5.8S ribosomal RNA", at positions 84 to 154 of the family's 154-position model. Lineage: Eukaryota; Fungi; Glomeromycota; Glomeromycetes; Glomerales; Glomeraceae. The record is from RNAcentral.